UCUUGCGCACCACUUCCUUGA
This 21-nucleotide unclassified non-coding RNA is filed under the name Mus musculus (house mouse). RNAcentral describes it as "oocyte_clustered_small_RNA6743". The record is from RNAcentral. Lineage: Eukaryota; Metazoa; Chordata; Mammalia; Rodentia; Muridae.